GUUUUAAUAAUUUAAAUAAAAUACUGGUCUUGUAAACCAACAUUAAGCUUAGUCUUUUAAAACA
This 64-nucleotide transfer RNA is filed under the name Cleroidea sp. 6 KM-2017. Its description in RNAcentral is "tRNA-Thr". Lineage: Eukaryota; Metazoa; Arthropoda; Insecta; Coleoptera. The record is from RNAcentral.